GACGAACGCUGGCGGCGUGCUUAACACAUGCAAGUCGAGCGGUAAGGCCCUUUCGGGGGUACGACGAGCGGCGAACGGGUGAGUAACACGUGGGUGACCUCGCCCUCAACUCUGGGAUAAGCCUGGGAAACGUGGGUCUAAUACUGGAUAUGACUCCACGGUGCAUGUCGGUGGGGUGGAAAGCCUUGUGCGGCUGAGGAUGGGCCCGCGCCUAUCAGCUUGUUGGUGGGGUGAGGCCUACCAGGGCGACGACGGGUAGCCGGCCUGAGAGGGCGGCCGGCCACACUGGGACUGAGAC
This 298-nucleotide ribosomal RNA is filed under the name uncultured bacterium. RNAcentral describes it as "partial 16S ribosomal RNA". It matches the Rfam family "Bacterial small subunit ribosomal RNA", at positions 28 to 325 of the family's 1533-position model. The record is from RNAcentral.